UUUUGGCAGCUAUAGUGUAGCGGACCCACCUAAUUCCAUGCCGAACUUAGAAGUGAAACGCUAUAACGCCGAUGGUAGUGUGGGGAAUCCCCAUGUGAGAGUAGGUCACUGCCAAUUAU
This 119-nucleotide ribosomal RNA is filed under the name Avibacterium paragallinarum. The record is from RNAcentral. Lineage: Bacteria; Pseudomonadati; Pseudomonadota; Gammaproteobacteria; Pasteurellales; Pasteurellaceae.